CUAGCUCUCUCCAAUGACACUCAGCCCCAACCGUUGUGUUUCAGCCCUGGUGAGAAGCCAGGAUUCCUGCCCCCGAGGGAGCUGAGCAAGUACAGCCCCCUGAUCAAGAGUCACUCCAUGACCAACAUCCAGAAGGGCCGGGGGAAGGAGGAUGAGCAGCAUCUCCAGCAACUGCCUGCCUCCCCACGCCAGGCCUGGGAGAGGAGGAAGGUGCAGCGCACCCAGAGUGUGCCAGCCCAGAGCAAGGCAGGACGCAGGCUGCAGAAGCAGAGCAGCAUGGAGCACGUGGUUGAGUCCCAGGGAGAAGAGAGUCACGAUGAGAGCCCUCGCCCCUCUACCUUCCGCCCACGGGAUGGCCGAGCCCACCCGGGGCGAUCCAAUCUCCGCCAAUCUGCCUCGCUGCCCCGGAAGUCCACGGUUCCCUGGCAGCGCCACGCUGAGGAAGCAGCCAAGGCACAGACUGAGCUGUACGCCAUGCGGCCGCUGGAGAAGCAUGGGAAGCAAAUUGAGGAGCUGAGGAAGGAGUUGGCAGAGUCCAGGGAGAAGCAGAGGCUCUUUGAGAGCCAGCUGGAAAUGCUGGUCACCCAGAACCAGACACUGCUGGAGGAGCAGGCCAAAAGCCAGGGGCAGGAGGAGAGACUCCGGAGGCAGCUGGAGAAGCUGGAAACCCACCUGGCAAACCUCAGCACCAGGGUGGCGGCGGCAGAGGGCAGCCGGAGGAAGGACCAGGAGAAGCUGAGGGCCAGCGAGGAGAGGACGAAGCGUCUGGUAAAAUCCACGUCCCCCUGGGGCUGACGAGCCCAGCAGCUCCGCCCAAUUGGUCUAUCAGGGAGUAACCGAGGGGAUUCUGGGAGCCACCCUGCACAGUGUAUUAUG
RNAcentral lists this long non-coding RNA (876 nucleotides) under Gopherus agassizii (Agassiz's desert tortoise). RNAcentral's name for it is "lncRNA (ENSGAGG00000011524.1)". The record is from RNAcentral. Lineage: Eukaryota; Metazoa; Chordata; Testudines; Testudinidae.